RNAcentral lists this ribosomal RNA (828 nucleotides) under Triticum aestivum (bread wheat). Its description in RNAcentral is "partial small subunit ribosomal RNA". The record is from RNAcentral. Lineage: Eukaryota; Viridiplantae; Streptophyta; Magnoliopsida; Poales; Poaceae.
AUGAUUUUAGUCAAAAUUAAGCCGCCUCCACAGCCCUCCGAUCAAACGCUCUACAGCCGUACAAAUCAGCCAGCUCCCAUGUAUAGCACCACGCAGCAGCAUGCCAGCACUCAUGACAGCAGCUCGCAGCCCCGACGGGUGCCCGGCGGCGCUUCAUGGCAACCUUACCGGAGCUCCAACAACCCCCAUGGUGCUUCACUGCAGCUCCGACGAUGUUCGGCUGCGCUUCAUUGCAACCUCGCUGGAGCUCCAACGACCCCCACAGCGCUUCACUGCAACCUCGCCGGAACUCGCGGCGCUUCAAUGCAGCUUCAGUGGCGCUCAACGAGGCUUCAUUGUAACCUCGCCAGAGCUCCAACGACCCCUGCAGCGCUUCACUGUAACCUCGCCGGAGCUCGCGGCGCUUCACUACAGCUUCUGCGGUGCUCGACGUCGCUUCAUUGUAACCUCGCCGGAGCUCCAACGAACCUCGCGGCGCUUCAUUGUAACCUCGCCGGAGCUCGCGGUGCUUCACUGCAGCUUCGGCGACGCUUCAUUGCAACCUCGCCGGAGCUCCAAAGACCCCUGCGGUGCUUCACUGCAACCUCGUCGAUGUUUCGCUGCAGCGCCAACACCGUCACGGCGAUGCUCCGUGGCAGCACACCGACGGCCGUCGCCAAGCUUCACUGCAACGUCAGCAUCGCGCGGCUGCCCCAUCAAAGCUCCACCGCAGCACCCCGAUGGCUGCUGGUGAAGCUUCACUGUAGCGGGCACGACGCCGACGGGGUUCUGCGAUGCAGCACGCGGCAACGGCGGCAGAAGUUGUUACGCAGCACGGCGGCGCGCUGA